CGGCAACAGCUCAAAUUUGAAAUCUGGCCCCCGCCGGGGUCCGAGUUGUAAUUUGGAGAGGAUGCUUCGGGGAGGCCGCCGGCCUAAGUUCCUUGGAACAGGACGUCACAGAGGGUGAGAAUCCCGUACGUGGCCGGAGAGGCGCCCCGCGUGAAGCUCCUUCGAC
Molecule: ribosomal RNA, 166 nt
Filed under: Myxotrichaceae sp.
Lineage: Eukaryota; Fungi; Ascomycota; Leotiomycetes; Myxotrichaceae
Description: partial large subunit ribosomal RNA
Rfam family: Eukaryotic large subunit ribosomal RNA
Source: RNAcentral